Molecule: ribosomal RNA, 301 nt
Filed under: uncultured bacterium
Lineage: Bacteria
Description: partial 16S ribosomal RNA
Rfam family: Bacterial small subunit ribosomal RNA
Source: RNAcentral
CAGCCGCCGCGGGAAUACGGAGGGUGCAAGCGUUAAUCGGAAUUACUGGGCGUAAAGCGCACGCAGGCGGUUUGUUAAGUCAGAUGUGAAAUCCCCGAGCUUAACUUGGGAACUGCAUUUGAAACUGGCAAGCUAGAGUCUUGUAGAGGGGGGUAGAAUUCCAGGUGUAGCGGUGAAAUGCGUAGAGAUCUGGAGGAAUACCGGUGGCGAAGGCGGCCCCCUGGACAAAGACUGACGCUCAGGUGCGAAAGCGUGGGGAGCAAACAGGAUUAGAUACCCCUGUAGUCCCUGUCUCUUAUAC